RNAcentral lists this ribosomal RNA (553 nucleotides) under uncultured Thauera sp. Its description in RNAcentral is "bacterial SSU rRNA". It matches the Rfam family "Bacterial small subunit ribosomal RNA", at positions 373 to 918 of the family's 1533-position model. Lineage: Bacteria; Pseudomonadati; Pseudomonadota; Betaproteobacteria; Rhodocyclales; Zoogloeaceae. The record is from RNAcentral.
GGGGGCACCUGAUCCAGCCAUGCCGCGGUGAGUGAAGAAGGCCUUCGGGUUGUAAAGCUCUUUCGGCCGGGAAGAAAUCGGCGACUCUAACAUAGUCGCUGGAUGACGGUACCGGACUAAGAAGCACCGGCUAACUACGUGCCAGCAGCCGCGGUAAUACGUAGGGUGCGAGCGUUAAUCGGAAUUACUGGGCGUAAAGCGUGCGCAGGCGGUUUUGUAAGACAGAUGUGAAAUCCCCGGGCUUAACCUGGGAACUGCGUUUGUGACUGCAAGGCUAGAGUACGGCAGAGGGGGGUGGAAUUCCACGUGUAGCAGUGAAAUGCGUAGAGAUGUGGAGGAACACCGAUGGCGAAGGCAGCCCCCUGGGCCUGUACUGACGCUCAUGCACGAAAGCGUGGGGAGCAAACAGGAUUAGAUACCCUGGUAGUCCACGCCCUAAACGAUGUCGACUAGUCGUUCGGAGCAGCAAUGCACUGAGUGACGCAGCUAACGCGUGAAGUCGACCGCCUGGGGAGUACGGCCGCAAGGUUAAAACUCAAAGGAAUGGACGGAA